Molecule: long non-coding RNA, 3730 nt
Organism: Leopardus geoffroyi (Geoffroy's cat)
Lineage: Eukaryota; Metazoa; Chordata; Mammalia; Carnivora; Felidae
Exons: 4
Source: RefSeq, a predicted model, not a curated record
CUGUUUAGGACACCAAACAAGACAUGAACAUCUUCUCUGGUACUGUAGAAACUUUUCAAAACCAUCAUGUUGCUUUUGUCCUGCUUCACCUUCCCGUAGGGAGAGAUUCAUCCAGCCCGAUAGAGAUAGGGUAUACAGAACAUCUCUAGCUAGCACUGUCCACCUCUAUUCUGACAAUUUCUCCUCUUCGAACUAAACAUUGAAGGCUGGCUAUGUGCACAACCUCUGUCCAGUUUCCAUGGCUUAGGAUUACUUCACUGGAUCACUCCAUAAAUAACUAGAGUCCUACUAUGUGCACAUACUGUCGUAGGUGCUGGUGAAAGGGCAGUGGACAAAACAAGCUUAUGUAAAAUAAGUAAACCUACACUUGUACAAUGUAGAUUAUAAUAUUAAGCUUCUAGUAAGGGAGACAGGAGGUUAACGAGGCAGUUAUUUUACCUACAGGGCCAGGGAAAGACUUGCAGACUGAGAAGGUGAUAUUUGAGCUGGUGGGAUUCAGGAAGUGAGUUCUUUGGUUAUCUGGAAGAACAUUCCCAGAAGAGUAGUCAGAGAGGGCCUUUUAAGCCAUUCUAAGGCUUUUGUUUUUUAUUCCAUGUGAGAGGGAUUGCCCUUCUAGGGUUCUGAGCAGAAUGAAGUUCUAGAAACCAAGUGAACCAAAUAUUUUAAGAAGAGAGUGAGCAAGUGUGUCCGGUGUUGGACAGGGUGAAUGGGACGAGGCUGAGAACAGACGUUUGUAUGUAGCACCAUGGGGAGGGGUCAGUGGUGAUUUCCACAGGAACUAUUCCAAUGAAGUGAUGAGGGUGAGAGCUGUUUGAAAUGGAUUCUGGAAGGAGUGGGAGGGGCUGGACAGGAGGCAGACUACAACUCUUUGAGGAGUUGGAGUUUUACUCUUAAAAGGAAGAGAAAUGGAACGGUAGCAGGAGGAGGAUGUGGGACCAGGAACAUUUUCAAAAAUUUUUUAAUGGAAGGAGUUAUUACAGCACAUUUGUGUGCUGGGAAUGAUCCAGUAGAGAGCAACAACUCAAUGAUGCAGGAGUAGGUAGACGAUUGCUGGAGCAAAGUCUUGGAGUAGGGUGAGAAGGGAUGGGCUCCAGAGCGCCAGUGGAGGGACAUGAGCAUUCACGUGACUACAGGAGGGAGGCUGCGGUGUGGGCUCAGGGACCUCCAUGGUCGGGAGCACAGACGUCCACUUGGUAUGGCUCAGCUGGCCUUCGCGGGCAGUUAGCGUAUUUGACAGACUAAGGUGCCAUCUGCCGUACAUCUGGUGAACCGUGUGCACCGGUGCCUCCCUCCCCCCCCCCCCCCCAUAGACACACACCUGUGGGCACUGUUCCCAGGGCUGUCCUUAUCCUCGCCACUUCAUGUUGGUAAAGCAAGCACUAUAUGUAUGUCAGUUUAAAUGCACUAUAUGUAUUGUGCAGUUUAAAAAAACUUGGGCUCAGACCAGUGUAGCCACUAACGUAAGGUCACGUGUUGAUAAACGGUAGGGCAGGGGAUUGAACCCAGACAUUUUGACUGUUUCUGGGUUCUGUGGACCCAGGAAAUAGGGAAGGGGUAUUUACUUACCAAGAUUGAGAUUCAAUGUCUUUUUCCUGCUCUUGUCUCCAGAGGAGCCCACCACGGGGAUGACUGUGUGAAUGCACAAUCCCUUCAGGUACACAAGGGUGCCUUCACCAGGUGGAGGGCAUCUCCAGAUGCAUGCAAUGUACAGAUGGCCUCGUUACCCCAUUUACCUGUGCAGAGGCUUAAAGCACCUGGAACCUGCCUCUCCCACCAUAGUCUUCGAGGGGCUGCAUUUGGACUGCACCCUCCUGCCCGUUCAUCCACCAAACCACCUUUCCGUUAACAUUCCACAGUUUCCUCUUGCUCUUUAGAUCUGGGGAGAAGCAGGGUUUUGUGCUCACUCAAUUGCCCCGAACCAGGGGAUAAUAGAUUUUUCAACCUGGAAGGAAUCAUUCCAGGGAGACCUCUGGUUAAACUUCUUUGUAUUCACCCCAUUUUCUUUAUCCGCUCUGUUGGCAUCUCAGGCACCAGCUAACAUGUACUUCUAGAACCUUCUAUCUUCAACACAAGAAAAUACACACAUCUGCUUUGUUUUCUUUUGGAAGAAGCUCUAAGAAAAAAGAUGUGAGAGUUCAGCUGGCUCCCUGCUCUUCCAAGGGCUGUCACUGCAAUCAUGUGGGGCCACUGGAGGCAGUUGUCUGAACCCCUACAGUGGGCACAAUGGGUUGAGAACAGAAUUGCCUGUGGAUCAGUCCACCACCAGGCACACGUUGUCUUCUGACCAUUUUACUCCAUCUACACCAAGAAGUUCUUACUGGCACCUCUUCAUGUGCUGCUCACUUGGCAUCCAUUGGUGAUCCACAUUUUGGACACAGAACCAUCGCUCUCACCUGGACCCUUUGUGGGGGACUAGGUUCCACGCAAGCACGUUGGAGAGGACGCACUUUUCCUUGCUGCCAUGUUUUACCCUAGCCCCUCAUUACUGUGUUCGGGAAAUUAUUCCUUUUUCCACCCCUAAUUAGGCCUCUGGGUACUUUAUGAUUGCAGGAUUUCCUUCUUUUCUAUGGCUGAAGAGAGCCUAGCUUUUAAAGACUGUGUUUAUCACACAACAUGGCCCUUAAAUGGAAGCCUGCUUCAUCUGAUGUGCAACUGAAGAAUUGAAAUGCCUUUCGGUGCCAGAGGAAACACCAGCUCUAUGCAGGAUUUACUGAGAGAGGGUUUGUAAGCCGCCCGACUGGCACUGCUCCAACGGAUCUUCAAGGGACAUUUGGAUUGUGUGCAAUUCCAGCCCUUACACACUGACUUGAGAACCCUCUGCUCCUUGUUCAGUUUCCUGCUUUUAACAGAGUUAACAGGGGCGCCUGGGUGGCUCAGGUGAUUAAGCGUCUGACUUGUUAUCCACUUAGGUGGUGAUUUCCCAGUCAUGAGACUGGGCUCAUGCUGAGGGUCCGGCCUGCUUGGGAGUCUCUCCCUGACCGCCCCCCCCCCACACUUGUGUGUGCAUGCACAGGUGCUCUCUCAGAAUAAAUAAACAUGUUUUAAAAAGUUAACAGAAUAUCUUGUUUGUUCUACACCAGCACAUAGAAACCUAAUUUAUUGUCUUAAAUAGCUACAGGGUAUUCCAUUGCAGGAAGGCACUAGAAUUUGUUCAAAAUCAGUUCUCUAUUGGAGGAUAUUUCGACUGUGUUCAGACUUUUGCUACUACUAUUAUAAUGCUGCAAGGAGGGAUGUGUCUUUUUAUAAUAAUACCUUUUGGGGAUCUUGAAUGACCAAGUCAUUAUAGGAGAACAAAUAGAAUAUUUUUUGCUAUAUUUUUUGGAAAAUAGGGGCUUUAUUUUCUUUUCUGGCUACUUUUGUAUUGAUACUAUUUUGGUACUAAUUCCUAUGAUUUCAACUUUUCAAAAUUAAGCUUAAAAAUACCAAUUACACCUGAAAAAUAUUCCAGUUAGCAUAAUUUUAAAAUCCACUUAAUGGCAUUUGGAUCCCAAAAGACAAGUUACCAAAUAUCUUUAGUAGUUAGUGUUUAUUCAACAAAUAUUUCUUGAGUGCCUCUGUGUACCAGGGACAAUAUUAAGGGUUUUAAUAGAUUUUAUGCCUCCUAGUAUCAUUGAAAUUCUGCUGGAAUUCAAGACUAAGAACUAUGUAUAAGAUAAUUGCUCAUUUGUUCCAUUAAAUCUAUAACAAGAUAUUUGUAUAGUGGUAAGGUGGACGGGAGGGGAAAAGUAAU